CAACAACAGAGAGGGGCGACACCCACACCUCCAAAACCCUAACAUCAACAAAAACUCUAAAUUGAAGGCUCAAAUCACGUUGUAAGCAGAAUCUGAACAUAGAAUUGUGAUCUCCUCGUCAAGAAGGUCAUAAGGCAAGGAAUCCGGGACGUCAAGUGGACACGCCGGAGGUGAUACCCGCGGAAAAGGUGCGCUUUGAAGGUAUGGAUGAAUCUCUCCCGGAUGAUGAUCAAGCAUUUUGUCAAGAACCGAACACGAAAUUUGAAGCUUCCGCACCGAAUAUGAUCUUGUCUAAACUUUAAACAUGUCAUAUAAAUGUUGUUAAUGAUGUUUUGAAUCCUUUAAACUAGUUAUUAGUUGACUAGUAAGGGUUGUCUUUAAAUGAAUUAUGCACCAUCUAGAACAUGUUUGGAAAAAUUUGUUAGUAUGU
Molecule: long non-coding RNA, 430 nt
Organism: Helianthus annuus (common sunflower)
Lineage: Eukaryota; Viridiplantae; Streptophyta; Magnoliopsida; Asterales; Asteraceae
Exons: 3
Source: RefSeq, a predicted model, not a curated record